CGUUUGGAUUACGCGGAGGGACAUUACCGAGUUUACAACUCCCAAACCCAAUGUGAACGUUACCAAACUGUUGCCUCGGCGGGGUCACGCCCCGGGUGCGUAAAAGCCCCGGAACCAGGCGCCCGCCGGAGGAACCAACCAAACUCUUUCUGUAGUCCCCUCGCGGACGUAUUUCUUGCAGCUCUGAGCAAAAAUUCAAAAUGAAUCAAAACUUUCAACAACGGAUCUCUUGGUUCUGGCAUCGAUGAAGAACGCAGCGAAAUGCGAUAAGUAAUGUGAAUUGCAGAAUUCAGUGAAUCAUCGAAUCUUUGAACGCACAUUGCGCCCGCCAGUAUUCUGGCGGGCAUGCCUGUCCGAGCGUCAUUUCAACCCUCGAACCCCUCCGGGGGAUCGGCGUUGGGGAUCGGGACCCCUCACCGGGUGCCGGCCCUGAAAUACAGUGGCGGUCUCGCCGCAGCCUCUCCUGCGCAGUAGUUUGCACAACUCGCACCGGGAGCGCGGCGCGUCCACGUCCGUAAAACACCCAACUUCUGAAAUGUUGACCUCGGAUCAGGUAGGAAUACCCGCUGAACUUAAGCAUAUCAAAA
This 587-nucleotide ribosomal RNA is filed under the name Trichoderma hamatum. RNAcentral describes it as "eukaryotic LSU rRNA". The stretch from base 210 to 363 matches the Rfam family "5.8S ribosomal RNA". The record is from RNAcentral. Lineage: Eukaryota; Fungi; Ascomycota; Sordariomycetes; Hypocreales; Hypocreaceae.